UACAGAGGGUGCUAGCGUUGUUCGGAAUCAUUGGGCGUAAAGGGCGUGUAGGCGGUUUGUUAAGUCAUGUGUGAAAGCCCCCGGCUCAACCGGGGAACGACGCAUGAAACUGGCAAGCUAGAGUACCGAAGAGGGGGGUGGAAUCCCGGUGUAGCGGUGAAAUGCGUAGAUAUCGGGAGGAACACCUGUGGCGAAGGCAGCUCGCUGGGACGUUACUGACGCUGAGACGGCGAAAGCGUGGGGAGCAAACAGG
This 253-nucleotide ribosomal RNA is filed under the name uncultured bacterium. Its description in RNAcentral is "partial 16S ribosomal RNA". It matches the Rfam family "Bacterial small subunit ribosomal RNA", at positions 524 to 776 of the family's 1533-position model. The record is from RNAcentral.